ACCUGAGUGGCUCAGUUGGUUAAGCGUCUGACUUCGGCUCAGGUCAUGAUCUCACGGUUCGUGAGUUCGAGCCCCGCUUCGGGCU
RNAcentral lists this transfer RNA (85 nucleotides) under Felis catus (domestic cat). It matches the Rfam family "tRNA". From Rfam's summary of the family: Transfer RNA (tRNA) molecules are approximately 80 nucleotides in length. Their secondary structure includes four short double-helical elements and three loops (D, anti-codon, and T loops). The record is from Rfam by way of RNAcentral. Lineage: Eukaryota; Metazoa; Chordata; Mammalia; Carnivora; Felidae.